AGUCAAUAGAUACCCCGGUAGUCCACGCCGUAAACUAUGGAUGCUAGCUGUUAUCAGUAUCGACCCUGGUAGUAGCGAAAGCUAACGCGUUAAGCAUCCCGCCUGUGGAGUACGAGCGCAAGCUUAAAACAUAAAGGAAUUGACGGGGACCCGCACAAGCGGUGGAGCGUGUUGUUUAAUUCGACGGUAAGCGAAGAACCUUACCAGGGUUUGACAUCCCGCCAAGGUCUCCGAAAGGAGACUGUGCCUUCGGGCCGCGGUGACAGGUGCUGCAUGGCCGUCGUCAGCUCGUGUCGUGAGAUGUUUGGUUAAGUCCAUCAACGAGCGCAACCCUUAUAGUCUGUUGGAUUUUUUAGGCUAGACUGCCCCGGUAACGGGGAGGAAGGAGGGGAUGAUGUCAGGUCAUUAUUGCCCUUACACCCUGGGCUACAAACACGCUACAAUGGCUGGUACAAAGGGCCGCAAACCCGCGAGGGGGAGCAAAUCCCAUCAAAGCCAGUCUCAGUUCGGAUUGUAGGCUGAAACCCGCCUGCAUGAAGCUGGAAUCGC
RNAcentral lists this ribosomal RNA (549 nucleotides) under uncultured bacterium. Its description in RNAcentral is "bacterial SSU rRNA". It matches the Rfam family "Bacterial small subunit ribosomal RNA", at positions 775 to 1335 of the family's 1533-position model. The record is from RNAcentral.